This 422-nucleotide ribosomal RNA is filed under the name uncultured archaeon. Its description in RNAcentral is "partial 16S ribosomal RNA". It matches the Rfam family "Archaeal small subunit ribosomal RNA", at positions 323 to 746 of the family's 1478-position model. The record is from RNAcentral.
CUACGGGACGCUCCAGGCGCGAAACCUUUACAAUGCACGAAAGUGUGAUAAGGGGAUCCAAAGUGCCUAUACAUUGUAUAGGCUUUUGCCAAAGUUAAAUCCUUUGGCGAAUAAGUGGUGGGAAAGACUGGUGCCAGCCGCCGCGGUAACACCAGCGCCACAAGUGGCAGCCAUAUUUAUUGGGCCUAAAGCGUUCGUAGCCGGUUUGAUAAAUUCUUUGUGAAAUUGUCUGGCUUAACCAAACAACGUGCAAAGAACACUGUUAAACUUGAGACCGGGAGGAGCUGAGAGUAUUCUUGGGGGAGCGGUAAAAUGUGAUAAUCCUUAGAAGACUACCUGUGGCGAAGGCGCUCAGCUAGAACGGAUCUGACGGUGAGGGACGAAAGCCAGGGGAGCGAUCCGGAUUAGAUACCCCGGUAGUC